Molecule: transfer RNA, 71 nt
Filed under: Posidoniimonas corsicana
Lineage: Bacteria; Pseudomonadati; Planctomycetota; Planctomycetia; Pirellulales; Lacipirellulaceae
Description: Planctomycetes bacterium KOR34 tRNA-Trp
Rfam family: tRNA
About the family: Transfer RNA (tRNA) molecules are approximately 80 nucleotides in length.
Source: RNAcentral
GCGAGUGUGCUCCUGGGAGAGUAGUCAGCCUCCAAAACUGACGGACAGGGUUCGAAUCCUUGCGCUCGUGC